UCCGUCUCUGAGUGCUCUGUAGAUCAGGCUUCAACUGGGCUUAACCCAACCUCGGAUGGCAAUUGUAAAAUGAAUGUGGUGGAUUCUAAAAAGGUAAAAUGAAUGUGUGUUUUCACUCAAUUAUCUACCUGGCUGCUUUUAUCACGAUAUGCAUGUGAGUGCUUAGGCUGGUCAUAGUGGGAGUAACAUAGGUAGUAACAUAGAUGCCACAUAAGUAAAAAUGAUGAUGUGACAAGUAGUUAAUGAGGAGAGAGGCAAAUAGAGUAACAUAAUAUGUUACCAUCACAUAGCGGUUUCCAAUGCAUAAUGAGUCUACAAAGUAAUAAAUGAAGGCAACUAUGUUACCACACCUAUGACACUACCCAUUAUGAAGGUAGUAACAUAGACUAGUAACAUAUGUAUGUUACUAGUCUAAGUUACUUCCCACUAUGACCAGCCUUAGAAGGAAAAAUAUGUUGGCAUGUCGCGUGACAGAAAGGAGUCGUGCAGAUCAAUUGUGU
Molecule: long non-coding RNA, 500 nt
Filed under: Triticum aestivum (bread wheat)
Lineage: Eukaryota; Viridiplantae; Streptophyta; Magnoliopsida; Poales; Poaceae
Description: long non-coding RNA (TAES_LNC006322)
Source: RNAcentral